RNAcentral lists this long non-coding RNA (4509 nucleotides) under Pan troglodytes (chimpanzee). RNAcentral's name for it is "long non-coding RNA NONPTRT018490". Lineage: Eukaryota; Metazoa; Chordata; Mammalia; Primates; Hominidae. The record is from RNAcentral.
CCUCAUCUUUGCUUUACAUCAAGAGGGAGCUGGUUACCUAAUGCCCCCCCUCCAGAAAUUAUUGAUGUGCAAAAUGCAAUUUCCCUAUCUGCUGUUAGUCUGGGGUCUCAUCCCCUCAUAUUCCUUUUGUCUUACAGCAGGGGGUACUUGGGACUGUUAAUGCGCAUAAUUGCAAUUAUGGUCUUUUCCAUUAAAUUAAGAUCCCAACUGCUCACACCCUCUUAGCAUUACAGUAGAGGGUGCUAAUCACAAGGACAUUUCUUUUGUACUGUUAAUGUGCUACUUGCAUUUGUCCCUCUUCCUGUGCACUAAAGGCCCCACUCACUUCCCUAGUGUUCAGCAGUGGAUGACCUCUAGUCAAGACCUUUGCACUAGGAUAGUUAAUGUGAACCAUGGCAACUGAUCACAACAAUGUCUUUCAGAUCAGAUCCAUUUUAUCCUCCUUGUUUUACAGCAAGGGAUAUUAAUUACCUAUGUUACCUUUCCCUGGGACUAUGAAUGUGCAAAAUUCCAAUGUUCAUGGUCUCUCCCUUUAAACCUAUAUUCUACUCCUUUUACAUUACAGAAAGGGAUGCUGGCAACCCAGAGUCCUUCUCUUGGGACUCUUAAUGUGUAUUUCUAAUUGUCCAUGACUCUUAAUGUGCAUAUUUUCAAUUGUCUAAGACAUUUCAAAUGUCUAAUUGAUUAGAACUGAGUCUUUUAUAUCAAGCUAAUAUCUAGCUUUUAUAUCAAGCUAAUAUCUUGACUUCUCAGCAUCAUAGAAGGGGGUACUGAUUUCCUAAAGUCUUUCUUGAACUUCUAUUAUGCAAAAUUGCCCUGAGGCCGGGUGUGGUGGCUCACACCUGUAAUCCCAGCACUUUGGGAGGCUGAGGUGGGAAGAUCCCUUACUGCCAGGAGUUUGAGACCAGCCUGGCCAACAUUAAAAAAAAAAAAAAGUAAGACAGUUGCCCUGGAAUCCCAUCCCCCUCACACCUCCUUGGCAAAGCAGCAGGAGUGCUAACUAGCUAGUGCUUCUUAUACUGCUUAAAUGCGCAUAAUUAACAGUAGUUGAUGUGCCCCUAUGUUAGAGUAGAAUCCCGCUUCCUUGCUCCAUUUGCAUUACUGCAGGAGCUUCUAACUAGCCUGAAUUCACUCUCUUGGACUGUUAAUGUGCAUACUUAUAUUUGCUGCUGUACUUUUUUACCAUGUAAGGACCCCACCCACUGUAUUUACAUCCCAGCUGGAAGUACCUACUACUUAAGACCCUUAGACUAGUAAAGUUAGCGUGCAUAAUCUUAGUUGUUAUAUACACAUUUUCAGUUGCAUACAGUUGUGCCUUUUAUCAGGACUCCUGUACUUAUCAAAGCAGAGAGUGCUAAUCAACAUUAAGCCCUUCUCUUCGAACUGUAGAUGGCAUGUAAUUGCAGUUGUCAAUGGUCCUUCAAUUAGACUUGGGUUUCUGACCUAUCACACCCUCUUUGCUUUAUUGCAUGGGGUACUAUUCACUUAAGGCCCCUUUCUCAAACUGUUAAUGUGCCUAAUGACAAUUACAUCAGUAUCCUUCCUUUUGAAGGACAGCAUGGUUGGUGACACCUAAGGCCCCAUUUCUUGGCCUCCCAAUAUGUGUGAUUGUAUUUGUCGAGGUUGCUAUGCACUAGAGAAGGAAAGUGCUCCCCUCAUCCCCACUUUUCCCUUCCAGCAGGAAGUGCCCACCCCAUAAGACCCUUUUAUUUGGACAGUCAAGGUGCACAAUUCUAAGUGACCGCAGCCAUGCACCUUGGUCAAUAAUGUGUGUAACUGCACACGGCCUAUCUCAUCUGAAUAAGGCCUUACUCUCAGACCCCUUUUGCAGUACAGCAGGGGUGCUGAUAACCAAGGCCCAUUUUCCUGGCCUGUUAUGUGUGUGAUUAUAUUUGUCCAGGUUUCUGUGUACUAGACAAGGAAGCCUCCUCUGCCCCAUCCCAUCUACGCAUAAUCUUUCUUUUCCUCCCAGCAGGGAGUGCUCACUCCAUAAGACCCUUACAUUUGGACAAUCAAGGUGCACAAUUGUAAAGUGACCACAACCAUGCAUCUUGGAAAUUAUGUGCAUAACUGCACAUGGCUUAUCCUAUUUGAAUAAAGUCCUACUCUCAGACCCCCUUUGCAGUAUAGCUGGGGUGCUGAUCACUGAGGCCUCUUUGCUUGGCUUGUCUAUAUUCUUGUGUACUAGAUAAGGGCACCUUCUCAUGGACUCCCUUUGCUUUUCAACAAGGAGUACCCACUACUUUUUAAGAUUCUUAUAUUUGUCCAAAGUACAUGGUUUUAAUUGACCACAACAAUGUCCCUUGGACAUUAAUGUACGUAAUCACCACAUGGUUCAUCCUAAUUAAACAAGGUUCUACCCUCUCACCCUCCAUUUGCAGUAUACCAGGGUUGCUGACCCCCUAAGUCCCCUUUUCUUGGCUUGUUGACAUGCAUAAUUGCAUUUAUGUGGGUUCUUGUGCCCUAGACAAGGAUGCCCCACCUCUUUUCAAUAGUGGGUGCCCACUCCUUAUGAUCUUUACAUUUGAACAGUUAAUGUGAAUAAUUGCAGUUGUCUACAACCCUAUCACUUCUAGGACCAUUAUACCUCUUUUGCAUUACUGUGGGGUAUACUGUUUCCCUCCAAGGCCCCUUCUGGUGGACUAUCAACAUAUAAUUGAAAUUUUCUUUUGUCUUUGUCAGUAGAUUAAGGUCAUACCCCAUCACCUUUCCUUUGUAGUACAGCAGGGUGUCCUGAUCAACCAAAGUCCUGUUGUUUUGGACUGUUAAUAUGUGCAAUUACAUUUGCUCCUGAUCUGUGCACUAGAUAAGGAUCCUACCUACUUUCUUAGCGUUUUUAGCAGGUAGUGGCCACUACUCAAGACUGUCACUUGGAAUGUUCAUGUGCACAAACUCAAUUCUCUAAGCAUGUUCCUGUACCACCUUUGCUUUAGAGCAGGGGGAUGAUAUUCACUAAGUGCCCCUUCUUUUGGACUUAAUAUGCAUUAAUGCAAUUGUCCACCUCUUCUUUUAGACUAAGAGUUGAUCUCCACAUACUCCCCUUGCAUCAGGGGCAUGUUAAUUAUGAAUGAACCCUUUUCUUUUAAUAUUAAUGUCAUAAUUGUAUUUGUGGACCUGUGUAGGAGAAAAAGACCCUAUGUUCCUCCCAUUACCCUUUGGAUUGCUGCUGAGAAGUGUUAACUACUCAUAAUCUCAGCUCUUGGACAAUUAAUAGCAUUAAUAACAAUUAUCAAGGGCACUGAUCAUUAGAUAAGACUCCUGCCUCCUCGUUGCUUACAUCGGGGGUACUGACCCACUAAGGCCCCUUGUACUGUUAAUGUGAAUAUUUGCAAUUAUAUAUGUCUCCUUCUGUUAGAGUGGGAUAUUAUGCCCUAGUAUCCCCUUUGCAUUACUGCAGGGGCUGCUGACUACUCAAAACUUCUCCUGGGACUGUUAAUAGGCACAAUGGCAGUUAUCAAUGGUUUUCUCCCUCCCUGACCUUGUUAAGCAAGCGCCCCACCCCACCCUUAGUUUCCCAUGGCAUAAUAAAGUAUAAGCAUUGGAGUAUUCCAUGCACUUUUCUAUCAAACAGUGGUCCAUACUCCCACCCUUUUGCAUUGCGCCAGUGUGUAAAAUCACAGGUAGCCAUGGUGUCAUGCUUUAUAUACGAAGUCUUCCCUCUCUCUGCCCCUUGUGUGCCCUUGGCCCCUUUUUACAGACUAUUGCUCACAAUCUCAGGUGUCCAUAUAUGCAGCUAUUAGGUAAGAUUGUGCUGUCUCCCUCUUCCCUUCCCUCUGCCCUGCCCCUUUUGCCUCUUUGCUGGGUAAUGUUGACCGGACAAGGCCCUUUCUCUUGGACUUAAACAAUUCUCAGUUGCACUUUCCUUGGUCCCACCCAUUAUACAUGAACCCCUCUACUUCCUUUCGCAUUGCUUCUGAGUAUGCUGACUACCCAAAGCCCCUUCUGUGUUAUUAAUAAACACAGUACUGAUUGUCCCAUUUUUCAGCCCAUCAGUCCAAGAUCUCCCUACCACUUUGGUGUGUUGGUGCAGUGUUGACUAUGAAAAGCAGGCCUGAACUAGGUGGAUAAGCCUUCACUCAUUUUCUUUCAUUUAUUAAUGAUCCUAGUUUCAAUUAUUGUCAGAUUCUGGGGACAAGAACCAUUCUUGCCCACCUGUGUUACUGCUUUACUGUGCAAAAUACUGAAGGCAAGUCAGACCCAGGGAGCUGGAUUGCCAUCCUUUAUUUUGUGUUUCCAGUAUACACUAUCAAAUUGUCUCCCCAGGAAGGAAGGUUGGCACUUUCUCUGCAUUCUUCUUUCCAGAGCAGAUUGCCUGGUUAAGAAUCUCUUGUUGUCCCCUUUGUAUAUUGUUAUUGUAAAGUGCCAAAUGCCAGGAUACAGCCAGAAAAAUUGCUUAUAUUAUUAUUAAAAAAAUUUUUUUAAGAAAGACAUCUGGAUUGUAGGGUGGACUCGAUAACCUGGUCAUUAUUUUUUUGAAGCCAAAAUAUCCAUUUAUACUAUGUACCUGGU